UUUCAAACAGGCUCUGUCUUAUUACAAUUGAGUUCUCUUAACCAAAUGGGAACCAGUUAGAAAAUGACAGAGAUGAGUUUGAAAAUACAUGUAUGUGCCUAUCAUUUAUUUGUGCAGGAGUUAUGUCCCUUUACAAAUGUAAAUCAUAUAGGAUUUAAUUACAUUGUGCAUGUUGUAAGGGCUUUCAAAUGUACAAUUCUUGCCAGAGUUUAUAUGAAAUGUCUUUCAAAGGUUUAUACAAAUGUACCAGUAUUUAGAAAUAUUUGAAAACAGUUUGAAAAUCACUUGGCAAUUAAACUUUUUUUAUAGAGUUAUGCCCCUUGGAAAUAUAAAUUAUAUGAAAAAUUGAGUUAGCAUUGCUCUCACUCAGUGUUCUCACUAAGGCUAGUCUAUGACUUAUUCAAAAACUGAUGAGUCCAGAGAUGCAUCAAGAUUGAAAUAUUUUGUAUAAACUCAACACACAUAUCUAGCUAAUUUUUAAAAGUUAUUUGAAUUUAAGGUGGUACCCAACACUUUCACUAAAAUUAAUUUGGCUCGUUUAAUUUUCAUAAAAUUUUGACAAAGUAUUUACUUUGACCCUUUGACAAAAAUAUAAAAAUUUCAAAAAAAUUGAACAACUGUUUUAUCAGAAAAAAUUCAGGGGUUAAAAUGUAUAUAGCAGUUUGACAAACACUUAUUUUGAUCAUUGAGAAGCUUAAUAUUCCCUUGAAACACAACGUAAUUAAAACGUUUAGAAGAUGAUUUUACACAGUUAUCUCUCUGUAGUGUUAGGUACCACCUUAAUGUCAUUUCAUUGCUCUAUUACAUGUAGGUCAUAAAGACUAAAUGAUAAAUUAUAUUGCAAUAAAAUAUCUUUUUCUAACUGUUGAACUCACCAUAGUAAAAAAUGACUAGACCCUGGACUGACCUUCAAAAAACCUUACCCCGAGAACCCUGCCUCACUCCUGCAUUUGUUGUAUAUACUGUAGGAUUGUUAUGAAAUUAAUAUCAGGAGAUUGAAUAAUAAAUUAUACUGCAAUAAAAUAUCUUUUUCUUACUGUUGAACUCACCAUGGUAAAAAAAAUUAUAAGAACCUGGAAAUUACCUUCAAAAACCUUGGCCUGAGAACUCUAUCUCACUCCUGCAUUUGUUGUACAUGCUGUAGGAUUGUUAUGAAAUAUCAAAGAUCAAAAUCAGGGAUUUAUUAAAACAAUUUGAAUUAUUUUGUCAGGAGUUAUGUCCCUUUGACAUUUAAUUUAUAUUGAACAUUGCAUUGUAACCUCAGGGUUACUCUUAUGUUUACUCCAAUUUUUAUGAAAACUGUAUCAAAUAUUUAUACCAGACAUUAUUAUACAGUGAGUUGCUGAAUCUAAAGCAUCAUGGGUAAUUUCAUUGUUCGUACCCCAAAAUGAAAAUAACGCCAUGUCAUUGGUUAAAUUUCCAUUGUUUAUGACAUUUUUAACCAAUCAGGGCAUUGUGGUGUACACUUUUGAAAAUAUUACCCAGGAUGUAUUAUAUUCUGAAACGGCCAAUUGUGCAAACCAAUUUCUUUUUAUUUGUAAGUUAUUACACUGGUUUUUAUACAUGUACGUGUGCAUAUAAUGAUUUUGUAUCAUAAACCAAUGUGCAAUGAUAAAUUGAAUCAAAAUGAAUACUGUUAGCUUUUAUUAACAUUUAUAUUGCAAGUACAUGUAUACUGUAAUUAUUAUUAUUUAUUAUUUGUUAUUUAUUAUUUGUAUCUACUGUAACAAUGAAUCAAUACAUAUAGUUUUACUUACUGUUACAUAAGUGUACCCUAAUGUUAUACAUGUAUAUACGGUAUACAUACACAUAAUUAAGAACUGGUGCUUAGCAAAAAGUUUUUAUUUUACACCACAUAAAAAGUACCAAUGAAAGAUCAGUUUGUGAUUACAGAUCAGUGUGAUGUUGCAUGACCUAAUGGAUUAUUACAAUGAGAACUAGCUUUAGCAACAUUGUAUAUUGUCCUUAAACAUCUUAAAAAAGCAGAUUUCAAGUGUAUUUUUCAACUAUGUGUAUUUCAAACUUUGUUGUUUAUAUUUAUAUUUAUAAAAACCUAAAAAAAAGCUUGGCAUUUAACUUUUAUAUUCUAUUAUAGUCAAAUUACAAAUUUUACCUAUGUUUAAGUAAUUUACAUAAGUAUCUCAGCAUUUUUAAAAUAAAUAGUUAUCAGAAUCAUAUUCCUCCUUAUUAGCAUCUAGUCCAUUAUUUACAAUUAGUCAACAAGUGUAUUUUCAUGCGCAGAUCCAGAGGGGGGUUCCGGGGUUGGAACCCCCCCUUUUUUUUGUACGAUCAAUGCAUUUGAAUGGGGACAUUUAGUUGGAACCCCCCUUUGUCCUGGGUUAGGAACCCCCCUUUUUUAAAAUGGCUGGAUCCGCCCCUGAAUUUACUUUAUACUGGUACAGGUAAAUUAUUUUUGAAUUCAAGUUAUAUCAAUUAGACAUUCAGAUUUUUUCCCUUACCGUAUUUAAGUUAAGAAAGUCUUAUUUUCUUCUACUCUCUAGUUUCUAUUGACUACAUUGCCUUUAUUAAGUGUAACAGUCUUUACUUUUUAUAAAAGUAUAAUUUUAUGGACAGUUCAAUUUUCAUUUGUCUGUUACCAUCAAAAUACUACUCCAUGGAGCAAUUUUUGAAGUCCUUGCACGAUAACUUAAAAUCUGUUUACAAUAGAUUUCUUUGCUUAGUUCUUGAGAUUUAUGCUUGACCUCUAAUAAAAAAAAUAAUUAGCAAACCAGUUUUAACAUCCUAAGCUUGAAAAUUUAAGGGGUUGUAAAUAAAAUUAGUUGUACAUUUUUUGAGAUGAUUAAGGGGAGAUAAUUCAAACAUUAAAAAAAAAAAAAGACUUGGAUACGUAUUACUCUGACAGAUAACGGCGAUGGAGGUAUAGAGAAAGAUUUUCACAAACCCCUUGAUCAAUGAAAUUGAUAAAAAGAAGUACUAGGUACACUGAAGUUAGAAUAAAUCUACUGUAUAGUGCAUUUUGUACCAAAAAGGUUUUAAAAAAAGAAAAAAAGUCAAAGGAAACUUUCAAAAGUGAGAAGUCUAUGAAAACCUAGGUUAGGGGAAAUAACUUUGAAAAUUGUUACUAUGUUUUAUAUUCUAAGCUUUAAAGAUACAUGGAUAAUUUCCAAUCUGUUUCAGGUAAAUGCAUUGAUGAAACUUGCCUUUUUUAAACGCAUAACUGAUUUAAAGAGUUAUCUCCCUGAAGUAAGGUCUACAACCUUAAAACAUUAUCAACCAACAGAAUGAGUGGUAAUUAAGUGAGGGUUUAACUUUAAAUGCUCUUCAACUUUAUACUUUAUUUGGCCUUUUUUUUAUUCAAGCGUCACUGAUGAGUCUUUUGUAGACAAAACACGCGUCUGUCACAAAUACAAAAUUUAUCUAUGAUGAGUUAUUUUACCUUAGUUCUGAAUUUUUUAUUUGUUUCUAGUCUUAUAUUUCACCUGUUAAUCUUAUUUUUAGGAAUAACACUACAUGUAUGAUAUAAAAAAUGAAUUAAGGGGGUUCGCGGGUCUAAAUCAUUUAUAUAGGAUAUCUCUAUAUUUUUCUAUAAAUAAACUUUAUCUUAUAGUUAAUAGAAAAAUAAAAUUAAAAAGUGGGGUCACCGUUCAUUUGCGCUCACAAUCUGCCUUCCAAAGAAGCAUACAUUUUUGUAAAGGUGGUUUUUUUCUGUUGAAGUAAUAGGAGAAAUAAAAGUAAUAUCGAAAUAAAAAAAAGAAAUUUAUUACAAAAAUCGCUAAAAUUUUACAAUAAUUUAGUUUAAGUACAGCUUAUAUGGAAAAUUAUAUUAAAAA
RNAcentral lists this long non-coding RNA (3791 nucleotides) under Mytilus galloprovincialis (Mediterranean mussel). The record is from RNAcentral. Lineage: Eukaryota; Metazoa; Mollusca; Bivalvia; Mytilida; Mytilidae.